AACGGAGGGGACAAGCGCUGUUCGGAAUUACUGGGCGUAAAGGGCGCGUAGGCGGCUUACCAAGUCAGGCGUGAAAUUCCCGGGCUCAACCUGGGGGCUGCGCUUGAUACUGAUGAGCUUGAAUGCGGGAGAGGAUAGUGGAAUUCCCAGUGUAGAGGUGAAAUUCGUAGAUAUUGGGAAGAACACCGGUGGCGAAGGCGGCUAUCUGGCCCGUAAUUGACGCUGAGGCGCGAAAGCGUGGGGAGCAAACAGG
This 253-nucleotide ribosomal RNA is filed under the name uncultured bacterium. RNAcentral describes it as "partial 16S ribosomal RNA". It matches the Rfam family "Bacterial small subunit ribosomal RNA", at positions 524 to 776 of the family's 1533-position model. The record is from RNAcentral.